GUCUUCUUCUUCUCCUGUUGAUUUAAAACCGUCUUCUUCUCCUCUUAUUUACGGCUGUUGCGCCUGGGUUGUUUUUUCAAACCCUCCGCCGGUGCCAUAGCUCGGAUUGUAAUGCAUUACUGGACUCAGUAACUGUAAUAAUAUUACCACAAUAUAGUUAGUAUUGCGUUAUAUUAUGUUACUGCCUAAACGUAUAAAUAUAUUACUGUAACGCGAUACUUUUGGAACUUUUUUUUGUAACACGUUACCCCCAACGCUGUCCACAAACUUAAUCAAAAAACAAAACAUUAAAAAAACAAAAUGUACCCUUUCUGAUGAGUCUACGUUGGUCCAGAAUGUCACUGUCAGUUUUGUGUAUGUAGUAUGAAUGGAACAAGGUAGUUCACAUGAGCUAUAUAUGCAGAUGAUAAUGGAUGAUAAAGGUUCUGCAGUAGUCAUCAUCAGAUGCUUGAGUUCAGUCAAUGUUUGUGUGUGUGUCCCUGUGAGCAGAUCAGAUCUCAGAGCUGCUGAAGCCUCACAGAGUCUGUCUGGUGACUCCUGUUGUCCUGAACCACUCCAGUCAGCCAUGUGGGAGAUCAGCCAACAGGUUUGUGGUACUGAGUCUAUGGAGAUGUUACUUGGUUAUAAACAAACAGCCUCUCAGGGUGGAGAGCACUUUCAGCUACCUGGAGAUUUGCUCUAUCAACGUCCACAGCCUCACACAGGUAAACUCUUCCAAAAUCAUACCUGUAUAAUCAAAUAAUUUUUUCUUUAUCAUUUACUGUAUUUUUUACCAGUUAUACAGUAUAUUUGUAUUCAGGA
This 801-nucleotide long non-coding RNA is filed under the name Sparus aurata (gilthead seabream). RNAcentral's name for it is "lncRNA (ENSSAUG00010021794.1)". Lineage: Eukaryota; Metazoa; Chordata; Actinopteri; Spariformes; Sparidae. The record is from RNAcentral.